Molecule: unclassified non-coding RNA, 356 nt
Filed under: soil metagenome
Description: partial contains 5.8S ribosomal RNA, internal transcribed spacer 2, and large subunit ribosomal RNA
Rfam family: 5.8S ribosomal RNA (bases 2-120)
Source: RNAcentral
UAUGAAGAACGUAGCGAAAUGCGAUAAGUAAUGCGAAUUGCAGAAUUCAGUGAAUCAUCGAAUCUUUGAACGCACAUUGCGCCCGCCAGUACUCUGGCGGGCAUGCCUGUCUGAGCGUCAUUUCAACCCUCGCGCCCGGCUUCUGUCGGGGGCGGUGUUGGGGAUCGGCCUCCCGUCUUCCGGGCGGCCGGCCCCUAAAUGGAGUGGCGACCGCGCCGUAGCCUCCUCUGCGUAGUAGUGAAACACUCGCGGGCGGAGAGCGGUGCGGCCCGCCGUAAAACCCCCAACUCUUCUAAGGUUGACCUCAGAUCAGGUAGGAAUACCCGCUGAACUUAAGCAUAUCAAUAAGCGGAGGA